AAAGGGGGUUGCUGUCAUGAGCAGCACACGUUGGGCAGCUUAAUUGCUCUACAUGUGGAAUUGACAUCAAGAUUUUGGGAGCAUGUGUUGGUAGAUGGGCAGCUGGUGAUGGUUGGUUCUGGCACCCAG
Molecule: small nuclear RNA, 129 nt
Organism: Pipistrellus kuhlii (Kuhl's pipistrelle)
Lineage: Eukaryota; Metazoa; Chordata; Mammalia; Chiroptera; Vespertilionidae
Product: U11 spliceosomal RNA
Exons: 1
Source: RefSeq, a predicted model, not a curated record